CGGCAUUUGUCACACUGCAAAAACAAAUUAUUCUCAUACUCCUCAUCCAUAUGGCAAACGUUGCAUUUGUCCAGAUCUUUCCAUUUAACACGGACAGACCUAUAACCAGCCGGCAAGUCUUGAUUUUUUGAAGACGCCAAUUUCAAGGAUUUUGCAAGAAUCUUGGACUUUGAUAACUCCUUUAUAAGUUUCGAAAUUUCAGGAUGAGAAAAG
This 213-nucleotide unclassified non-coding RNA is filed under the name Hevea brasiliensis (rubber tree). Lineage: Eukaryota; Viridiplantae; Streptophyta; Magnoliopsida; Malpighiales; Euphorbiaceae. The record is from RNAcentral.